UAGAUACCCUGGUAGUCCAUGCCGUAAACGGUGGGCGCUAGGUGUAGGGGGCUUCCACGUCUUCUGUGCCGUAGCUAACGCAUUAAGCGCCCCGCCUGGGGAGUACGGCCGCAAGGCUAAAACUCAAAGGAAUUGACGGGGGCCCGCACAAGCGGCGGAGCAUGUGGAUUAAUUCGAUGCAACGCGAAGAACCUUACCUGGGCUUGACAUACACUAGAUUGCUGCAGAGAUGUAGUGUCCCUUGUGGCUG
This 250-nucleotide ribosomal RNA is filed under the name uncultured bacterium. RNAcentral's name for it is "partial 16S ribosomal RNA". It matches the Rfam family "Bacterial small subunit ribosomal RNA", at positions 779 to 1029 of the family's 1533-position model. The record is from RNAcentral.